AGCUCCAAUAGCGUAUAUUAAAGUUGUUGCAGUUAAAAAGCUCGUAGUCGGACUCUAGGCAAGGCCGUGUGGUCUGCCGUCAGGCAGUACUGCGCGCGCCGCGUCUGACCGUUGGGGAGUGCAUGAUGUUCUCAUGCAGGAACCAAGAUUUACUUUGAAGAAAUUAGAGUGUUCAAGGCAGGCUCACGCUUGAAUACAUUAGCAUGGAAUAAUAGAAUAGGACGUUGGUUCUAUUUUGUUGGUUUGAGAACCAAGGUAAUGAUUAAUAGGGACAGUUGGGGGCAUUGGUAUUCGGUAGUCAGAGGUGAAAUUCUUGGAUUUACCAAAGACCAACUAGUGCGAAAGCAUUUGCCAAGGAUGUUUUCA
This 366-nucleotide ribosomal RNA is filed under the name uncultured eukaryote. Its description in RNAcentral is "SSU rRNA". It matches the Rfam family "Eukaryotic small subunit ribosomal RNA", at positions 587 to 972 of the family's 1831-position model. The record is from RNAcentral.